RNAcentral lists this long non-coding RNA (2228 nucleotides) under Salmo salar (Atlantic salmon). RNAcentral describes it as "lncRNA (ENSSSAG00000117187.1)". The record is from RNAcentral. Lineage: Eukaryota; Metazoa; Chordata; Actinopteri; Salmoniformes; Salmonidae.
GGCUGGUUCUUGUUCAGCUGCAGUAAACUGGGUUGUUACUUUGGGACGAUCCCUUUCCCUUCUCUCUUUAAUUUGACAGGCGCUAGUGGACCGGACAUUAAGAAGUCUUUACCUCUCACAUUCAGCAGCAGAAAGGUGAGGGUUUCAGGUGACUCCUCUCUCUCUGGCUCUCUCUUUUUUCCUUAUCUCUCUCUCUCUCUUUUCCUUCUCUCUCUCUCUCUCUCUCUCUCUCUCUCUCUCUCUGGCCCUCUCUUUUUUCCUUCUCACAGGGUGGGCUCCAGUGAGAGAGAGAGACAGGGGUGGGCUCCAGUGAGAGAGAGAGACAGGGUGGGCUCCAGAGAGAGAGACAGGGUGGGCUCCAGUGAGAGAGAGAGACAGGGUGGGCUCCAGUGAGAGAGACAGGGUGGGCUCCAGUGUGAGAGAGAGACAGGGUGGGCUCCAGAGAGAGAGAGACAGGGUGGGCUCCAGUGUGAGAGAGAGACAGGGUGGGCUCCAGAGAGAGAGACAGGGUGGGCUCCAGUGAGAGAGAGACAGGGUGGGCUCCAGAGAGAGAGACAGGGUGGGCUCCAGUGAGAGAGAGAGACAGGGUGUGCUCCAGUGAGAGAGAGAGACAGGGUGGGCUCCAGUGAGAGAGAGAGACAGGGUGGGCUCCAGUGUGAGAGAGAGACAGGGUGGGCUCCAGAGAGAGAGAGAGAGAGACAGGGUGGGCUCCAGUGAGAGAGACAGGAUGGGCUCCAGUGAGAGAGACAGGGUGGGCUCCAGUGAGAGAGAGAGACAGGGUGGGCUCCAGUGAGAGAGAGAGACAGGGUGGGCUCCAGUGUGAGAGAGAGACAGGGUGGGCUCCAGUGAGAGAGAGACAGGGCGGGCUCCAGUGAGAGAGAGACAGGGGCGGGCUCCAGUGAGAGAGAGAGACAGGGGUGGGCUCCAGUGAGAGAGAGACAGGGGUGGGCUCCAGUGAGAGAGAGACAGGGGUGGGCUCCAGUGAGUGAGAGAGAGACAGGGGUGGGCUCCAGUGAGAGAGAGAAACAGGGGUGGGCUCCAGUGAGAGAGAGUGAGAGAGAGACAGGGUGGGCUCCAGUGAGAGAGAGUGAGAGAGAGACAGUGUGGGCUCCAGUGAGAGAGAGUGAGAGAGAGAGACAGGGUGGGCUCCAGUGAGAGAGAGACAGGGUGGGCUCCAGUGAGAGAGAGAGACAGGGUGGGCUCCAGUGAGAGAGAGACAGGGUUGUCUCCAGUGAGAGAGAGACAGGGUGGGCUCCAGUGAGAGAGAGAGACAGGGUGGGCUCCAGUGAGAGACAGGGUGGGCUCCAGUGAGAGAGAGAGACAGGGUGGGCUCCAGUGAGAGAGACAGGGUGGGCUCCAGUGAGAGAGAGAGAGAGACAGGGUGGGCUCCAGUUAGAGAGAGAGACAUGGGUGGGCUCCAGUGAGAGAGAGAGACAGGGUGGGCUCCAGUGAGAGAGAGAGAGAGACAGGGUGGGCUCCAGUUAGAGAGAGAGACAGGGGUGGGCUCCAGUGAGAGAGAGAGACAGGGUGGGCUCCAGUGAGAGAGAGAGAGACAGGGUGGGCUCCAGUGAGAGAGAGAGAGAGACAGGGUGGGCUCCAGUGAGAGAGAGAGACAGGGUGGGCUCCAGUGAGAGAGAGAGACAGGGUGGGCUCCAGUGAGAGAGAGAGAGACAGGGUGGGCUCCAGAGAGAGAGAGAGACAGGGUGGGCUCCAGUGAGAGAGAGAGACAGGGUGGGCUCCAGUGUGAGAGAGAGACAGGGUGGGCUCCAGAGAGAGAGAGAGAGAGAGAGAGACAGGGUGGGCUCCAGAGAGAGAGAGAGAGAGACAGGGUGGGCUCCAGAGAGAGAGAGAGACAGGGUGGGCUCCAGGAGAGAGAGAGAGAGACAGGGUGGGCUCCAGUGAGAGAGAGAGAGAGACAGGGUGGUCUCCAGUGAGAGAGAGAGAGAGACAGGGUGGGCUCCAGUGAGAGAGAGAGAGAGACAGGGUGGGCUCCAGUGAGAGAGAGAGACAGGGUGGGCUCCAGUGUGAGAGAGAGACAGGGUGGGCUCCAGAGAGAGAGAGAGAGAGACAGGGUGGGCUCCAGAGAGAGAGAGAGACAGGGGUGGGCUCCAGUGAGAGAGAGAGACAGGGUGGGCUCCAGAGAGAGAGACAGGGUGGGCCACUUCAAGGUGCCAUCGAUCUCAUGUCUUGGUGUGGUUUCCAUCCAGUAACCCAACACUCAGUGUUCC